This 889-nucleotide ribosomal RNA is filed under the name Salmonella enterica subsp. enterica serovar Schwarzengrund. RNAcentral describes it as "partial 23S ribosomal RNA". It matches the Rfam family "Bacterial large subunit ribosomal RNA", at positions 572 to 1374 of the family's 2925-position model. Lineage: Bacteria; Pseudomonadati; Pseudomonadota; Gammaproteobacteria; Enterobacterales; Enterobacteriaceae. The record is from RNAcentral.
AGUGGGAGCACAGGUUUACCUGUGUGACUGCGUACCUUUUGUAUAAUGGGUCAGCGACUUAUAUUCUGUAGCAAGGUUAACCGAAUAGGGGAGCCGGAGGGAAACCGAGUCUUAAUUGGGCGUUAAGUUGCAGGGUAUAGACCCGAAACCCGGUGAUCUAGCCAUGGGCAGGUUGAAGGUUGGGUAACACUAACUGGAGGACCGAACCGACUAAUGUUGAAAAAUUAGCGGAUGACCUGUGGCUGGGGGUGAAAGGCCAAUCAAACCGGGAGAUAGCUGGUUCUCCCCGAAAGCUAUUUAGGUAGCGCCUCGUGAAUUCAUCUCCGGGGGUAGAGCACUGUUUCGGCUAGGGGGCCAUCCCGGCUUACCAACCCGAUGCAAACUGCGAAUACCGGAGAAUGUUAUCACGGGAGACACACGGCGGGUGCUAACGUCCGUCGUGAAGAGGGAAACAACCCAGACCGCCAGCUAAGGUCCCAAAGUCAUGGUUAAGUGGGAAACGAUGUGGGAAGGCCCAGACAGCCAGGAUGUUGGCUUAGAAGCAGCCAUCAUUUAAAGAAAGCGUAAUAGCUCACUGGUCGAGUCGGCCUGCGCGGAAGAUGUAACGGGGCUAAACCAUGCACCGAAGCUGCGGCAGCGAACGUAUCACCCAAGACAACUUUACGGAGUUGACGAUUGACGGAGCGAAGCGACGUCAAAGCGUUCAUUAAAGUCGAGUUGGCUUAGGGAUACGUUCGUUGGGUAGGGGAGCGUUCUGUAAGCCUGCGAAGGUGGCCUGUGAGGGUUGCUGGAGGUAUCAGAAGUGCGAAUGCUGACAUAAGUAACGAUAAAGCGGGUGAAAAGCCCGCUCGCCGGAAGACCAAGGGUUCCUGUCCAACGUUAAUCGGGG